RNAcentral lists this ribosomal RNA (253 nucleotides) under uncultured bacterium. RNAcentral describes it as "partial 16S ribosomal RNA". It matches the Rfam family "Bacterial small subunit ribosomal RNA", at positions 524 to 776 of the family's 1533-position model. The record is from RNAcentral.
GACAGAGGGUGCAAACGUUGUUCGGAAUUACUGGGCGUAAAGCGCGUGUAGGCGGCUCUGCAAGUCGGAUGUGAAAGCCCUCGGCUCAACCGAGGAAGUGCACCCGAAACUGCAGAGCUAGAGUCUCGGAGAGGAUCGUGGAAUUCUCGGUGUAGCGGUGAAAUGCGCAGAUAUCAGGAAGAACACCUAUGGCGAAGGCAGCUCUCUGGGACGGUACUGACGCUGAGACGCGAAAGCGUGGGGAGCGAACAGG